Manis javanica (Malayan pangolin) is the source of this 891-nucleotide long non-coding RNA. RefSeq lists it as uncharacterized. Lineage: Eukaryota; Metazoa; Chordata; Mammalia; Pholidota; Manidae. The record is from RefSeq and is a predicted model, not a curated record.
GGGGUGAACAGGGUCUUGGUCACAGGCAGGAGACCUGGAAUAGGGCCAGCUGGACACCUCCUUUACAUGGACAUCUCUCACGGGAUCCAGUCUGCAACCAACAUAUCAGGUGUUGGGCACCUGCACCAUUCCAAUCACUGAGUUGAGCCCUGUGGAUACCCUGGUGAACAAGACAGACAAGGUGGGGAGGCAGACGACAAACAGAUACGGAUAGGUUCUACACUGCUCAGCUCUGCAGCUGGAAUGGACACCAUUUCUGGCUCCAGAGGUGGAUCCUGACUGGCUGAACCCAGCCAGUGCUUCCCCUUCCCUUGGUGAGGCAACUGCUUCAGGAUGGGCAUCUGGCUCCAUUCAGGCCACGAGGGGAGAAGACUCCUUUAGCCGGGGGUCCUGGAAGGAGCCUUCCUUUCUCUUUUAUGAGAGGAAACAAGAUGCAGAAAUAGGAGCUGAUCCACGUGGCUUGGGAAAGUGGGGAGCUUUCUGAAAGUUGAGCCAGCAGCUAAGAGCCACCUCUCUGAAGAUAAAGGAAAUGCAGCUGUGCAGACGCACGUGGCCUUCACUGCCACUCUCUUGCUUUUGACAUUCUUUCCCUCCACCUUGGUUUUGAAAAGCCUGACAAGGAGUCUGUUGAGAGACAAAUCUUUAAAGGCUCUCCUUGUGCUCAGUGAUACCAUAUUGUCCCUGACUGUGACUGUGGCAGUGGCUAAGUCCUAUCGCUCUACACAGGCCAUGGCUCAUAUCAAGCCAUUCCUCUUUCACAGGGUUGUGGUAACUCCACUUGCUUUCACUGGCCUCUCUGGAACCACAGCGGGGAAUGGCUGCCUGUCAUUUCUAGGCCCUGCAGGCUUCCCCAUCCCAUGAUGGAUACCUUACCUUGCCCACUCCUCUAAA